AAACGUAGACAGGUCAAAGUGUAGUAUCUGUUCUUAUCAGCUCAAUAUCUGAUACGGGUUGUUUCUAUUUGGACCCAAGAUAUUAAACUUAUUUUUGCAAGUUGGCGGAGUGCUUGAAGCCUGCUUCACCGCCGCCGCAGGUCCGCCCGAUAUAUAUUGCACUAUCUGCGGGAUUUUGGUCUACAGACA
Dermacentor silvarum is the source of this 189-nucleotide small nuclear RNA. RefSeq annotates it as U2 spliceosomal RNA. The transcript has a single exon. The record is from RefSeq and is a predicted model, not a curated record. NCBI's taxonomy places the organism in Eukaryota, Metazoa, Arthropoda, Arachnida, Ixodida, Ixodidae.